AAAGUACUGCUCAUAACGCCAAAACUAACUCAUCAGUCGUUCCCAAUUCGAUAAAUUUCAGAACUUCAGAAAAUAGCCUUUAACGAAUUGGGUCUUUUCACUCAUGAUCUUCUCCUAUUUCCUUCUCGUUUUCUUUCCCAUUUGCAAAUUACAACUAUCCCAUUCUUUCUCAUAUUUUUUUUCGAAGGUAGUCCAAAAUCCUGCAAUGGGUCUUCCACUACAUCUCACCACAUGAAGUCUCAACUACUAGAACAAGAAAACACAGAAGAAGAAGAUGAAAAUGAGGAAGAGAAACUCAGAAACUAAAAACCCUGAUUAUGUUCUUAAAUUAAAGAAACCAAUAAUUUCACAAUGGCUUUCAACAUUUUUCUUACCGACCCAGAAAAAAAAGGCCUUUCUAGCUUCAGAAAAACUGAAUCUGGUCAUCUUUGAAGUCUCUUUUGUCUAUAGUGAAGGGGGUUAGUGGUAAAGGUGUUGCAUUUCUUGAAAACAUGGUUGUUUGCAAUAAAUUUUCCUUGCUUAUUUUGGGGGAUUCAGCAACUGGGAUUAUCUGGGUUUUAAAUUUGGCCAAUGAGCCUUGGACUGGCCUUAAGAGUUAAAACCACUGGUUUUCUGUUUCAGAAACGGCUGGCAUUUAGAACUUACACAGCCUAUGGUUUGACCACUAAGCAAUGCAUGUGAUCAUAGUAUUCUCUGUUUCCUUUUUAUCCUCCUCGUGGAAUUCGUUUGUGUAACUCGAAUUCUAGCACUUUUAGUUUCUGUUUAUAUAUUUUUAAGCCUUUGUGUAUAUGGUACUUCUCAACUUUCUUCAGUACUCAAAUUUUGUCAAGGAAGGGGAAGUUCUACUUGGGUCCCUCUCAUAUUUGUAUCGGCUUAGUUUUUUGGGCUGGUUCCACUGUAGUGUUGUUUGGAACUUGGAGUUUUUUUUUUUUUUUGGGGGGGGGGGGUUGUUAUCUAAAGUGAAACAAACUGGAAUGCGAAGGAAAGGCCCCUGUCGUCACUGUGGUAUUGCAAGCACUCCACUUUGGAGGAAUGGCCCGGCAAGGAAACCAGUGUUGUGCAAUGCAUGUGGGUCGAGAUGGAGGGUAAAGGGCAGUCUGGCACGCUAUAUUCCCUUACAUGCCCAGGCCUUCAAUUAUGUCGACAUUCAAGGCUCCAAGAAUACUGAAGAAGUAAGGUCAGAUUUUUCGAACUUCAAAAUUCCUAAGAGGAUGCGUGGCCGCCCAUCAACUGUUGAAAAGCUCAGAAGGGACCUCUUUCGGAUUCUACAAGAGCAAGAAUCACUCUGCCCAUCUCGAUCUCCAGAAGAGGUGCUUAUUUUUAAAAGGGAAGAUCCACAGUCUUCUGAUGAGAUAGGGCUUGGGUGUGUUCUUCUUAAGCCACCAGUUCCAGGAGAGGAACCCAAGUCUCAAAGUAUUCAAGUUAGUGCAACUGAAGGAAGUAAAGAUAGACUGAUUGGAGCCAUUGGGCAAGUAAAGCAAUUGGAAGAAAAUCCUGCAAAAUGGAGUGAUCUCAAAGAGAAAUAUUUGGAGAGAAUUCGAUUAGGUAAUUCUAACACCUUGCAAAGUAUGCAUUCUCUUCAAAUGCACAAAAAUAUGAAGCCCUCAAACAAAGAAAGCUUUGGAGCACAAAAUGAGAUCACUUCCCACUCAGCUUUCAUUCUUGAAUCUGGAAUCUCGGUGCCCACUGAUAGACUUUCAAAGCCUCCAUGUCUCCCCAAAUCUGAAGUUCGCAUAGUGAAUAAGAUGUCGCAUUCAGAUUCUUGCUGGUCCAAGCGCUGCAGGAAUUAAGUGAUGAACAUUAGAACUGCUAUUUUUAUAUUCUCUACAAAUCAUUGUAUGAAAUAAAACUUCAGGAGCCCUUCAUUUGAGGAGCGGUUUUUAAUGAGAUUGAAUUAUCUCAACAGAAUUCACUUUGUAUUACAUGAAUCCCAUCUAACAUGACAUGAUAAAAGGCACCUUCUGAGGAUCAUAUUGUUGAAUAAUGAUUCUGGAGAAUUAAGAUGGUGAUGGCAGAAAAUAUCUGGAUGUGUAGUGCAGUUUCGAGAGUAUUAAGGUCUGUUGGUGUACAAUGUCUUGUAUUCCGUCACAGUUUAACCCAGGGAGUACUUGUGCAGGCCCCCCCAACAGAACUGAGGGCAAUUUUGUACUUUCCGGUAUUAGGGUAUUUCGCUAUAUAUUUGUAGUGAGAGUUACUUUUUAUGUAAGCAAUUUUGAGAGGUGUGAAUACGAACGUUGUAACCCUCUUCUCCAUUGAUAGUGAAACAGAAUCUCAUCUCACCGAGGA
RNA transcript from Macadamia integrifolia, 2286 nucleotides. It is a transcript of the gene named GATA transcription factor 27-like, with no coding region annotated. The transcript has 9 exons. NCBI's taxonomy places the organism in Eukaryota, Viridiplantae, Streptophyta, Magnoliopsida, Proteales, Proteaceae. The record is from RefSeq and is a predicted model, not a curated record.